This 1405-nucleotide long non-coding RNA is filed under the name Homo sapiens (human). RNAcentral describes it as "HSALNT0355050". Lineage: Eukaryota; Metazoa; Chordata; Mammalia; Primates; Hominidae. The record is from RNAcentral.
CCUUUGGAAGUCUCACCAGGCUGAGCAGGACUUAGAGGAACUCCGGCUACGUUUGCUGUCCCAACAAAUAGACCAGGUAUAGAGAGAACAGGCCCUGUGAGAGAGCCUCACACUUGCUGCCUCCUCUGCCUGGAACUCUCUCCCUCUGCUCUCACAGGGUUCCCUAAGUGUCGCUUCCUCCAAGAAGCCCUCCCUGAUGAGUUGAGCCACUUUAGUUUGUGCUCAGGCUCACCCUGCACGUCUUGGUUGCUCUCAUCACUGUAAUGAUCUAAAACACACGUCUGCUCAUGAGACCCGCAUCCCACCCCCGAUGCUGGGGCCGCUCUUGGAUUUUCAUGCCUGCUGCCAGCACCCAGGGGGAGCUCCGGAAAUGUCUGCUGGGGGCUCGGAAUACCCACCUUUCUGGUAAUGCAGCCCAGCGGGUCCCAGCCUCGUUUUCCAGCCCUCACUCAAAAUGGAGUCGCUCUGGUUCGAACGCCUCUGACAAGUGUGUACCUACGUGUCAGGCCCAUCCUUCCUGCAGGCCUUUGUCUUGGUGUCACCCUGCCUGAGCUGGCCCCAACCACAGUAGCAACAGUGAUGCUGAUGUGUGACUGCUGCCAGGAGCCUGCUCACAUGACCGUGUGGAGAAAGUUCUUUCCCUGAGGACCAUCUGGAGUGGACGCGUGCACUACCCCUCUCUGAAUACACCCUCCCCACGAGGCCCUCUGGAGCAUCCUGUAGAGCCAGCCCCUACCCAGAGACCCUGAGCCCAGAGAAUGCGCUGGGUGGUGAGCCUGGGGACGAAUGCAGAGCCCUAGGUCUCCUCUCCAGAAAGACCGGAUUUUGCCAUGUUGGCCAGGCUGGUCUUGAACUCCUGACCUCAAGUGAUCCACCUGCCUCGGCCUCCCAAAGUGCAGGGAUUACAGGUGUGAGCCACUGCACCCGGCCUCAGGCAGGUAUUUUUACCAGCCGAAUACUCUUGCACUGUGCACUCUUCGUGUUCAUCAUCAGUCCCCCGGAUGGGUGUUUAAGGCAUUUCCAAAGCUCUGUUAUUAAAAACACGAUGCAAUGAGUUUCUUUCAGCAUUUCCCCUUGUUGCCGUGUGAAUGCGUCCGUGGUAUAACUUCCUAAAAGUGGAAUCGCUUGGUCAAAGGGUGGGUGCAUUUAGCAACCUGAUGGCUUUCCAGGAGACAAGUGCUGCCUCCCGGCCACGAGCUUUUAAGAAGAACUGUUGAUGGAACCCGAGCUGGAGUCCCAGGGACCGGGGCGAGUUCUCCAUCCCAGGGGAUUUUCAGAUGGGACACUGGGGAGAAGCUGCCCUGCCCAUCUGAACUCUAUGAUCCCAGUACUAACACUGGUAGCUGUGCCAUCCCCAGUAUAGAGACAGCACCGUGCUCUUGGGAGGGUGAGUCAUUGGCCCCCG